Long non-coding RNA from Mirounga angustirostris (Northern elephant seal), 249 nucleotides. RefSeq lists it as uncharacterized. NCBI's taxonomy places the organism in Eukaryota, Metazoa, Chordata, Mammalia, Carnivora, Phocidae. The transcript has 2 exons. The record is from RefSeq and is a predicted model, not a curated record.
ACUGAAAGGCUCAAAAGGAGAGCUCAAGUUACACAAGCUUUGUAAGUGAUCUAUUUACACCAUAUGACUAAGAACGCAUCCAUGGACAGCUUAUGAGCCCAGGCUUCUGUCAAACUAGGAGAGAGGAAAAUGAACAGGCACAAAAAUUCAUAAAAGCUGAAUUGUGCCUGGCACUGUGCAGCUGUGGUGCUGCCUUCAUCAUUCCCUGCGUUUCCAAUCUUGCUAAUUAAAAGGUUGAUCACAGAACAA